CCUACGGGAGGCAGCAGUGAGGAAUAUUGGUCAAUGGCCGUAAGGCUGAACCAGCCAAGUCGCGUGAAGGAAGAAGGAUCUAUGGUUUGUAAACUUCUUUUAUAGGGGAAUAAAGGUAUCCACGUGUGGAUAUUUGCAUGUACCCUAUGAAUAAGCAUCGGCUAACUCCGUGCCAGCAGCCGCGGUAAUACGGAGGAUGCGAGCGUUAUCCGGAUUUAUUGGGUUCAAAGGGUGCGUAGGUUGUUUUUUAAGUCAGCGGUGAAAGUUUGUGGCUCAACCAUAAAAUUGCCGUUGAAACUGGAAGACGUGAGUGUGUUUGAGGUAGGCGGAAUGCGUGGUGUAGCGGUGAAAUGCAUAGAUAGCACGCAGAACUCCGAUUGCGAAGGCAGCUUACUAAGCCAUAACUGACACUGAAGCACGAAAGCGUGGGGAUCAAACAGGAUUAGAUACCCUAGUAGUC
RNAcentral lists this ribosomal RNA (460 nucleotides) under uncultured bacterium. RNAcentral's name for it is "partial 16S ribosomal RNA". It matches the Rfam family "Bacterial small subunit ribosomal RNA", at positions 338 to 795 of the family's 1533-position model. The record is from RNAcentral.